Molecule: ribosomal RNA, 449 nt
Filed under: uncultured bacterium
Lineage: Bacteria
Description: partial 16S ribosomal RNA
Rfam family: Bacterial small subunit ribosomal RNA
Source: RNAcentral
AGCGAACGCUGGCGGCAGGCCUAACACAUGCAAGUCGAACGAACUCUUCGGAGUUAGUGGCGGACGGGUGAGUAACACGUGGGAACGUGCCUUUAGGCUCGGAAUAACUCAGGGAAACUUGUGCUAAUACCGAAUGUGCCCUUCGGGGGAAAGAUUUAUCGCCUUUAGAGCGGCCCGCGUCUGAUUAGCUAGUUGGUGAGGUAAAGGCUCACCAAGGGGACGAUCAGUAGCUGGUCUGAGAGGAUGAUCAGCCACAUUGGGACUGAGACACGGCCCAAACUCCUACGGGAGGCAGCAGUGGGGAAUCUUGCGCAAUGGGCGAAAGCCUGACGCGGCCAUGCCGCGUGAAUGAUGAAGGUCUUAGGAUUGUAAAAUUCUUUCACCGGGGACGAUAAUGACGGUACCCGGAGAAGAAGCCCCGGCUAACUUCGUGCCAGCCGCCGCCGUAA